RNAcentral lists this ribosomal RNA (437 nucleotides) under uncultured bacterium. RNAcentral describes it as "bacterial SSU rRNA". It matches the Rfam family "Bacterial small subunit ribosomal RNA", at positions 8 to 429 of the family's 1533-position model. The record is from RNAcentral.
AGAGUUUGAUCCUGGCUCAGAACGAACGCUGGCGGCGUGCCUAAUACAUGCAAGUCGAACGAGAAAGUGGGGUAACCCAUUAGUAAAGUGGCAGACGGGUGAGUAAUACAUAGGUAACUUACCUCCAAGAUGGGGAUAACCUUCCGAAAGGAGGGCUAAUACCGAAUGAGACCACAGUUGCGAUGGCAACAGAGGUCAAAGGUGGCCACUACUUGUAAGCUAUCGCUUGGAGAUGGGCUUAUGCACCAUCAGCUAGUUGGUGAGGUAACGGCUCACCAAGGCUUUGACGGUUAGCUGAUCUGAGAGGUUGAUCAGCCACACUGGAACUGAGACACGGUCCAGACUCCUACGGGAGGCAGCAGUAGGGAAUAUUGCGCAAUGGAGGAAACUCUGACGCAGCGACGCCGCGUGGGUGAUGAAGGCCUUCGGGUCGUAAA